CCUACGGGAGGCUGCAGUGGGGAAUAUUGGACAAUGGGGGCAACCCUGAUCCAGCCAUGCCGCGUGUGUGAAGAAGGCCCUCGGGUUGUAAAGCACUUUCAGUGAGGAAGAACGCCUGGUGGUUAAUACCCAUCAGGAAAGACAUCACUCACAGAAGAAGCACCGGCUAACUCCGUGCCAGCAGCCGCGGUAAUACGGAGGGUGCGAGCGUUAAUCGGAAUUACUGGGCGUAAAGCGCGCGUAGGUGGCUUGAUAAGCCGGUUGUGAAAGCCCCGGGCUCAACCUGGGAACGGCAUCCGGAACUGUCAAGCUAGAGUGCAGGAGAGGAAGGUAGAAUUCCCGGUGUAGCGGUGAAAUGCGUAGAGAUCGGGAGGAAUACCAGUGGCGAAGGCGGCCUUCUGGACUGACACUGACACUGAGGUGCGAAAGUGUGGGUAGCAAACAGGAUUAGAUACCCGAGUAGUC
Molecule: ribosomal RNA, 465 nt
Filed under: Vreelandella stevensii
Lineage: Bacteria; Pseudomonadati; Pseudomonadota; Gammaproteobacteria; Oceanospirillales; Halomonadaceae
Description: partial 16S ribosomal RNA
Rfam family: Bacterial small subunit ribosomal RNA
Source: RNAcentral